AUUGAACGCUGGCUGCAGGCCUAACACAGGCAAGUCGAGCGGGGGAAGUUUUUGUGUUUCUCGUAUCAGCGGCGGACUGAUGAUCAAUGCCUAACUAUUUGCCUACUCGUGAGGUUUAACGUUCCGAAACGGUCGCUAAUACCACAUACGUCCUGAGCAGGGGAGUGGGAGAGCUUCGGACCGCACGCUAGCAGAUUAUCCUAGGUCGGAUUAGCUAUUUGGUGGGGUAAAGGCCUACCAAGGCGACGAUCCGGAACUGGUCUGCGAGGAUGAUCAGUCACACUGGAACUGAGACACGGUCCAGACUCCUACGGGAGGCAGCAGUGGGGAAUAUUGGACAAUGGGCGAACGCCUGAUCCAGACGUGCCGCGUGUGUGCAGAAGGUCUUCGGAUUGUAGAGUACUUUAAGUUGGGAGGAAGGGCAGUAAGUUAAUACCUUGCUGUUUUGACGUUACCGAAAGAAUAAGCACCGGCUAACUUCGUG
This 484-nucleotide ribosomal RNA is filed under the name uncultured bacterium. Its description in RNAcentral is "partial 16S ribosomal RNA". It matches the Rfam family "Bacterial small subunit ribosomal RNA", at positions 30 to 507 of the family's 1533-position model. The record is from RNAcentral.